Molecule: long non-coding RNA, 2948 nt
Filed under: Rattus norvegicus (Norway rat)
Lineage: Eukaryota; Metazoa; Chordata; Mammalia; Rodentia; Muridae
Description: long non-coding RNA NONRATT011944
Source: RNAcentral
CACCAUCAGAGGAAGUGGCCAUAGACGACUGCUUUCUCAGACUAUGCUGGUACCGGUCGGUAGAGUAGAUAGCCCUUGAAGCUCCCUAAGGGUUUUGUGGGAAGUCUUCAAAAUGUAAUGAUCCUUUUAAGUCAGUGGGACAAAAGUGGGUACGUUAGGUGAGGCGCUUGUGUGACCUGAGCUCACAGCAGGUGUGUCUGUAAGUGAGGGUAGUAGGAUUGUCUGCAGAAGUGAUCGGGACAAGAUUAUCGACAAUUUGUAUGGAAAGAAAUCUGACAAGACUUGGAGUUUGGUCAGAUUUACCCUUUAUGAGAAAUUCCUUAUUGGCUCCUAAUUCAAAUGGUUACAUAAAGAAACCUGUAGCCUGCAGCCAUAAGAAGCCACGACUUCUUUGGGGGCUCUCUGGAUGAGGGCUUUACAGGGUUACACUGAGGAAAACUUUUAUUCCCAGCUCUUAGAAUAUACAGUUUAUGACUUUCAUGAAGAGUGACAAAUACUCACUUUUGCUAUAUAUGCCCAGAGUACCAACAGGGACUAACUACUGAAUGUUUUGUGAUGAUAUGUGACCUCUGUUCUAUUCAGCUCUCACCCAUCCAAACUCAUGUAUAGAAUUCCCCAUGGAAACUGCAGGGCAAGGAACCCACUCCAUACAGAUACUGAUUUAGGAGAGUAAGCUAAAGGACGCAUAUUUACUAUGAAACAGGAGCUGAGAGGUAUGACCAAAGAAUGUUCCAGAUUGACUUGGAUUCUUUAGCCUGCAGUGGGACGGAGAGUAAGGGGAUGAUUUUUUCAAACCUCCCUCUUUAAGGCAUCAGAUGUUCUACCUUAAAGGGAGCUUGGCUUCACAUGGAAUUUCUCUAUCCAGAUUCUAUGCUCUGUACAUCCCUCUGCAAAACCUCCCAAAACGAGAAUAGCCUCUUAUGAGAAUAUGAAAUGUAGAAGACCUCAUAACAACUCAACUGAGAGUUUCUCCCCAAAGUGAACCAUUCACAUUAGAAUUCUUCAUGGAGUCCCAUUGACCAUACACACGUGCAUGUGUGUGCAAAACGGACUCAUUUGGGCAGUUUUAAAAGUGCAACAUUCAGUCCCAGCACUCAACAUUUAAUCCCAAUCUUUGGAUCUGUUAUAGUCAUUCUUUAAAAAAAAAAAUCAGUUUCUGGUUUCUGACUCAUCUUGGUUAUACCUCUAGCAAUUUUUUUCUUGAAAUUCUGAAAAUGAUUCACAUACAUAUGCAUAUUUAAUUCUCUUAGAUAAUCUAUAAGCUUGGAUGGUAUUUAUUCUGAAUGGGAAAAAUACCCAAAAUUUUAUAUGGGAAAAAAAUCUAUGUAAUUUAUAAUGGUUUGUUUUAUAUAUUUAUAUUUUCAUAUCUUUAGAGCACAUCUGUUGUUCUCAUCUUUUUGUACAUCACAGUUGGCAAAAAGAAAUACUAAUACUUGACUAAAAUCUCUAGGAACCAAAUGUGAUAUAUGUGAUACAUAAUGUAUAUAAAUUGCUCUAGAAAUACCUGAAUGUUCCCACCCAAGCCAAACACUGUUUCGUCAUUACAGCCAGAAUGUCUGGGGUGCUUACAAACAUUACUUUUUCACAGGGAAGAUUGAAAGGCCUGAUAUCCUACACAGUGGCUCUCAGACUCUCUUUCCCUUCGUUAUCUUGUUUGUCCUUGAACUGAGCGCAUCCUUCAAAAGGGCAAAAGAGAGCCAGUGAGAAAGGCACAGAAAUGAACUAGUUAUGGCUGAUGUAAAUCCCGUUAACAGGCUGAGGGCUUUAAAUCCCAGGCUCGGGUGCCGUUCACUGGGGAUGCGGCAUCUGCUCAGUUCUAUUGCACACAAAGGGUAGGGCAUGAGGAAUGAAUGAAUGCUUGCAUGUUUUGAACAGACACGGUGGACAUUUAGUGUAGCUACUGUUGGUGUCUUUGGGGAUCCCCAUGUGGCACUGGAAGAAGUGUUCUAGAAAAUCAAAUCAGUUACCUUUUCUUACAUGGUUUGAAGUAGUAUGUUUAUCACUGUUAGAACUUUUAAAUGGCAGUCCCAGUGGUUACAAGAACUAGGGAUUUCUUUUCAAUGUUUUCAUUUGGUAAGAAAUGGUCAUCAAAGUCUCUUUAAAACAAUAUUUUCUCAGUACAUUCAACUGCUUUCCUCAUAUGUCUUAGCAUAUCUUCUUAGAAACCCCCUACAUAGUUUCUGUUUCUACUGUUGCUUCUUAAACACUUACUGGUAGUCUUUAAAUACCACUCAAACUCCAUAUUUACACACACACAUGCACACGGUUUUGAACAUCUAUUAACUUUAAGAUAUUGAUUUUAAUAAUUUCACCAAUAAAGCCUUCAAACCAAUAACUAAGUUCAUUUUCCUAGUGACCCUUUUAUGAUUUCUUCAGAGAUUAACAGGUUUUGAUGAAACAAAUCAUUUGUGGGUAAAAUAAUCAAAUAAUACAUAAUUAUUUAUUAUAUUUUGCAGAAGACAAGUGUUUGAUUAUUAUACAAGGAAAAUCUCAUGUAUGAAGGAUGCUGUUUAAAUGACUUCUUUUCUUUAAAAAUGGGCAUGUAAAGUGGGCUACCACUGAGAAUACUACAAUCACUAAAAAUAGCUAGAAUAAAGCUAGAAAGUAAACAAUUCUAAGAACAUUAUGGAAAAAAUAAUUUUAUGAUUUAACCAAUUAUAAAAGCCUCAAAAUGUAUCUCUAAUACUACAGAUCCAUGAACAGUGAGUUGGUUUCAGAGAAUAUGUUCACAUCUCUUUUUGGUUUACUGUGCUUCACUCAUUCUGAACAUUCUUUGUUAAACUGGAAAUGAGAAAUGAGAUGGAAGAUGUUACCAGGAAGAAAUAGGAAAGAAUUUAAAGCUAUAAACAAGUGACUAAGAUAGGAGUUGAUCUCACUGUAGUAAAAAGAACCCAUGGCUUGUGAUCCAUCCUGUAGUCUGUUGCUUUAAUAAAGGGUUUACACAGGUG